RNAcentral lists this small nuclear RNA (104 nucleotides) under Castor canadensis (American beaver). The record is from RNAcentral. Lineage: Eukaryota; Metazoa; Chordata; Mammalia; Rodentia; Castoridae.
GUGCUCGCUUCGGCAACACAUAUACUAAAAACUGGAACGACAGACAUUAGCAUGGCCCCUGCGUUAAGGAUGACACACAAAUUCGUGAAGCAUUCCAUACUAAA